AUUUGAUGAUGGGGACACCUAGCACUUAAACGCUUGAAUCUUUUCCAGUACUCAUACAAAGACUCCCUAGUUUGUUGGUGAAUGUCACAGAUUUCAUUCCUGAUGCU
Humulus lupulus (European hop) is the source of this 107-nucleotide small nucleolar RNA. The record is from RefSeq and is a predicted model, not a curated record. NCBI's taxonomy places the organism in Eukaryota, Viridiplantae, Streptophyta, Magnoliopsida, Rosales, Cannabaceae.